AUUGAACGCUGGCGGAAUGCUUUACACAUGCAAGUCGAACGGCAGCACGGACUUCGGUCUGGUGGCGAGUGGCGAACGGGUGAGUAAUGUAUCGGAACGUGCCCAGUCGUGGGGGAUAACGUAGUGAAAAUUACGCUAAUACCGCAUACGAUCUAUGGAUGAAAGCGGGGGAUCGCAAGACCUCGCGCGAUUGGAGCGGCCGAUAUCAGAUUCGGUAGUUGGUGGGGUAAAGGCCCACCAAGCCAACGAUCUGUAGCUGGUCUGAGAGGACGAACAGCAACACUGGAACUGAGACACGGUCCAGACUCCGACGGGAGGCAGCAGUGGGGAAGUGUGGACAAGGGGCGAAAGCCUGAUCCAGCCAUUCCGCGUGCAGGAUGAAGGCCCUCGGGUUGUAAACUGCUUUUGUACAGAACGAAAAGGUUUCUACUAAUACUAGGAGCUCAUGACGGUACUGUAAGAAUAAGCACCGGCUAACUACAUGCCAGCAGCCGCCGUAA
This 500-nucleotide ribosomal RNA is filed under the name uncultured bacterium. RNAcentral's name for it is "partial 16S ribosomal RNA". It matches the Rfam family "Bacterial small subunit ribosomal RNA", at positions 30 to 523 of the family's 1533-position model. The record is from RNAcentral.